AAUCGUCCAAUAGGGACAUGGCUCGUACAUCACUUUUCCCGUUUCUCUGCUGACCCAUGACACUCAUUUAGAACUGAUCACCUUUUUGAUUAUAGACACCCGCCACGCACCCCGUUGACCUGAUGUCUGACGCAACUCUCCCCAGAAGACACGUCUAUCCCCUCUCCUAUGCGGAGACAGAGGCCAUGGAGAACUACGUAAAGGAAAGCCUCCAGCAGGGGUUUUUUUUUUCAGCCGGCCCUGGCACCUUGGUAUCCGAGCCAGACAGAGGUCCUGUGGACGAGUGGUUUUGGCAGGAGACCUGGAAUGCUGCACACACUUGUCUCCAGCGCGCCGGCACAAGGAACACGACGACCGCCACCGCAGUGAGGUGCCUGUCAUUUUCUAUCAAGAAUGGUGCUUUUUUUGGGGUGGCUGGUCGCUGAAGGUGGGGUUCGCCCAGGGAGCCAUACAAGCUAGAACCGCCACCGUGCUCACCCAUCCACAAGAUCGUGUCCAGGGGGAAUACAACUUUUCCCAUUAAGAGCAGGUUGUCCCGAGACUCUUCUAUUAGACCAAUGUGUUUUUCUUGUGAAAGAUGCUGUUAAGCCACAUAGCCUACCUCAGCCAGUUAAGUUAUUUUAUAUGGUCCUUCGCUCUGAAAAAAUUGACUUCAAUUAAAGCCCUCUUGUUGUUUGUAAACUCAAAUUAAAAUGAAGA
Oncorhynchus mykiss (rainbow trout) is the source of this 699-nucleotide non-coding RNA. The record is from RefSeq and is a predicted model, not a curated record. NCBI's taxonomy places the organism in Eukaryota, Metazoa, Chordata, Actinopteri, Salmoniformes, Salmonidae.